AGAUUGAACGCUGGCGGCAUGCCUAACACAUGCAAGUCGAACGGGAGUAGCAAUACUCUAGUGGCGGACGGGUGAGGAAUACGUAGGAAUUUGCCCUUAAGUGGGGGAUAACCCGGGGAAACCCGGAUUAAUACCGCAUGACCUCGAAAGAGCAAAGUGGGGGAUCGCAAGACCUCACGCUUUUGGAGAAGCCUACGUCGGAUUAGCUAGUUGGUGAGGUAAUGGCUCACCAAGGCGACGAUCCGUAACUGGUCUGAGAGGAUGAUCAGUCACACCGGAACUGAGACACGGUCCGGACUCCGUACGGGACGGCAGCA
RNAcentral lists this ribosomal RNA (317 nucleotides) under uncultured soil bacterium. RNAcentral describes it as "bacterial SSU rRNA". It matches the Rfam family "Bacterial small subunit ribosomal RNA", at positions 26 to 353 of the family's 1533-position model. The record is from RNAcentral.